CACACACACACACACACACUCAACAACAACAGCUAAACGUGUAGAACACAGAUGGAGCUAUGUACGUAAAGCAGGUGUUUUCAACCCCAUAUUCUCCACCGGCAUCUGAACAUGGAGGCCUGAGAGGAAGUGUGAACUGAAGUGACUCUGAAGGGAGGACAGAGACACACGUCCUGUGUUUUGCUGCCUCUGUUUAGUCAGAGCGAGGGGCCUGACCUGCUCCUGUGCGGGGAAACUAAUGGCUUUCUUCUGCAGCCCUCACUGCCAUAAAGAUUAACCCGUUUCUUCAACGGUCGCUGGGUUCCUGGAACGCCAGGCGACUCGGGGCAAACCUGUUCAGUCGCUCAGCUGCAGAGGAAUCAGUCUCAAAACAACAAAGAAGUGGAAAAGCGUGUCGAUGUCCCGAACAACGAGGGAUAAAACGCAGACACAGCAGGGCCGCCGCCCAGUCACCUCAGACAGACACUUGAACCAGCACCAAGCCAGGAUCAAGAAGAUCCUCCUUCUAUUACCGUGUCCGGCCUAUAAAUAGAAACACAAAAAGGUCUUACCAGGGCAGGCCACUGUAUGUGUUUGGCCUUGGUUCCCUGAAGCAGUCCUCCUGCUCCUCCUCCUGCUCCCUCCUUCCUCUUGGCCCAGACCAGCUGGUGCUCCAAAAGAAACAGCUGGAAAUCCUCAUAGACCUUCACCCACUCUCUCUUCUCCCACUCCUCGUCGUCGAACUCCACAUAUACCUGCGCACGGCACAGAGAGGAAACGGCGGAAAGAGAGAGAGAGAGCAAGCGAGAGGGGAUCAACGGGUGCAUCUCUCCUCAGUCAGCCUCCCGCCCUCCCCCUCUCCCAUGAUGCACUACCGCAGUCGACUGAGCGAUUGCUCCCUGCCAGCAGGCACGGAGGCGGCUACCUGAGUGGGUCCUCCCUUUGUGUGCCGUUGCUGCAGUCUGUUUGGGCAGUCAUUCCAGGACACUGGACCCUCAGCGGGUCGAGUCACAUGCUCCACCAGCCUCUAUCCGGCCGCUCCUCUAACUCACUGCAGACCGCUAUCUGUCACUCAGCAACACCAACAUCUGUCCACUCGUCACCUUAACUAGCAGCUCACUCAGUCAGCGUCACCUCAUUUAGGAACACGCCUGUUGUCAUCAUCCAUUCACUCUAUUUUUUUCAAGAAAUGUAGGAGUUGAUGGACAGUUUUGGACUGUUGGGUGGAGAAAACGGACAAAAUAAUCAGAUUAUUUUGAUCGACCCUGUACUCUACCGAUUAUUCCAUGGAUUAAUCAGGUAAAUAACACUUUUGCUUUAUUGAGGAGAAAGAGGAAAUAUACAAUCAUUUGUUUACCUUUUAGAAAAAUCCACAUUUUUAUUGCUUAGUAAUAUUAUAAGUGCCAGAUUACAUUCUGGGCUUUCAAAGCUCCAGACACUUUUUUAAACUAGUGUCCUGAAAAAAUAUUUUUAAGUUGGUGUAAACUGCUGUUAUCCUUUUAUUUAGUUAUUGUCAUCCAUAGAGGUUAAUUGCAUUAAAACACACAGAUUGGAAAAUAAAUGAUUGCAUUUUUUAUUAAAUAUUUUCUUCAAUAGAAAGACAUUUGGCAUUUGUAGUUUUGAUAUAAUCUGCUCAGAGCCAGUAUUAGGAAGCUAAACAGGUCAUAAAUCCUUCACUAAUAUCUAUUGUUGUUCCUUCAAACUGGAUUUAUUCAAGUUUCUCACCAAAAACUACAUUUUACAUGACUAGAUUUGAACAUAGCUAACGGCUAACGCUAACUAGCGCCGCUGGAGAAAUCGUUUCGCGCCCAAAAACAUAAUCACAUCUUUAAAGAAAAACUAAACAGGACCACCUCAGCACUGUUACAGUUGAUUAUUUUCCUUCCAAUCAACUAUCCGAUAUAUAAUAUAAUUCUUUCAACACCACAUGUCUUUACAAGAAUGAUCAGAAACAUUAGUUAAUAAAAUAUGAGGACCGUCUGUAAUCAUUGUUGAUUAUAAUUGAAAAAAAUAAUAAAGCUUGUCACACAUAAACAAUGA
Cyclopterus lumpus (lumpfish) is the source of this 2019-nucleotide long non-coding RNA. RefSeq lists it as uncharacterized. Lineage: Eukaryota; Metazoa; Chordata; Actinopteri; Perciformes; Cyclopteridae. The transcript has 4 exons. The record is from RefSeq and is a predicted model, not a curated record.